GCCCCGGUAAACGGCGGCCGUAACUAUAACGGUCCUAAGGUAGCGAAAUUCCUUGUCGGGUAAGUUCCGACCUGCACGAAUGGCGUAAUGAUGGCCAGGCUGUCUCCACCCGAGACUCAGUGAAAUUGAACUCGCUGUGAAGAUGCAGUGUACCCGCGGCAAGACGGAAAGACCCCGUGAACCUUUACUAUAGCUUGACACUGAACAUUGAGCCUUGAUGUGUAGGAUAGGUGGGAGGCUUUGAAGUGUGGACGCCAGUCUGCAUGGAGCCGACCUUGAAAUACCACCCUUUAAUGUUUGAUGUUCUAACGUUGGCCCGUAAUCCGGGUUGCGGACAGUGUCUGGUGGGUAGUUUGACUGGGGCGGUCUCCUCCUAAAGAGUAACGGAGGAGCACGAAGGUUGGCUAAUCCUGGUCGGACAUCAGGAGGUUAGUGCAAUGGCAUAAGCCAGCUUGACUGCGAGCGUGACGGCGCGAGCAGGUGCGAAAGCAGGUCAUAGUGAUCCGGUGGUUCUGAAUGGAAGGGCCAUCGCUCAACGGAUAAAAGGUACUCCGGGGAUAACAGGCUGAUACCGCCCAAGAGUUCAUAUCGACGGCGGUGUUUGGCACCUCGAUGUCGGCUCAUCACAUCCUGGGGCUGAAGUAGGUCCCAAGGGUAUGGCUGUUCGCCAUUUAAAGUGGUACGCGAGCUGGGUUUAGAACGUCGUGAGACAGUUCGGUCCCUAUCUGCCGUGGGCGCUGGAGAACUGAGGGGGGCUGCUCCUAGUACGAGAGGAC
Molecule: ribosomal RNA, 776 nt
Filed under: Escherichia coli
Lineage: Bacteria; Pseudomonadati; Pseudomonadota; Gammaproteobacteria; Enterobacterales; Enterobacteriaceae
Description: partial 23S ribosomal RNA
Rfam family: Bacterial large subunit ribosomal RNA
Source: RNAcentral